This is a long non-coding RNA of Salvia splendens (bonfire salvia), 416 nucleotides long. RefSeq lists it as uncharacterized. The transcript is spliced from 3 exons. NCBI's taxonomy places the organism in Eukaryota, Viridiplantae, Streptophyta, Magnoliopsida, Lamiales, Lamiaceae. The record is from RefSeq and is a predicted model, not a curated record.
AGAAGGGGGAAUCGACAGUCAUUCUCCCCAAAAAUAUCAAAACCACCAUAGCUGAUAGCCAUUAGUCUUCAUCUUCAAGUUUUGUUCUUGGUUGAAUUAAACAUGUAAUUUAGUGUCAAGGACUAAAUUAAGGUGAAGGAGCAGUUGGCCGAACAAAUUGGAUAACAACAAGGAACGGGCCCAGUGAUCAUCGAGCUUUAUUAAGCUUAUUCAAGAUGUGUAGAAGAAAUCGCCAGGCCCAAGAAGAAAGGAAGAUAAUAGCCUGACGAAGGGAAUUGGCGAGCAAAAAUGAAGAAAAUGACCAGACGGAGGAAAUUAGAAGCUGGAGGGCAGAACAGUGAAUUCAAUAGAAAGCUUCUAGAAGAUCGCCUCCACACCUAUAAAAGAGAGAGCACGCAACGUUCAUGAUCAUCACU